Molecule: long non-coding RNA, 956 nt
Organism: Limulus polyphemus (Atlantic horseshoe crab)
Lineage: Eukaryota; Metazoa; Arthropoda; Merostomata; Xiphosura; Limulidae
Exons: 2
Source: RefSeq, a predicted model, not a curated record
AAAUUUCACCUGACUGUAAUUGGCCAAUUUAGAGGAUUAGCACUUCGUAGAUUAAGAUCUCCCAACUUUCAGUAUCGUGUUGUUUUCCAGAUUGAGAGAAGAAAGUAAUACCUAGAAGCUGCUGUAUUUCUUUGUUCUCCUAUAGCUGUUGGAGCCUAUUUGUAUAAUAAAGUUCUCCCUUUGUACAUCAAGAGUCAUGGCAUCUUGUGUGUCAUCUAAAUAGAUAGUCAUGGAAACCAGGACUACAUUAAGUAAACUUCAAAUGAUUCCCUGAGUUCUCAGCCUACCAGUGUUCAUGAGUGAUGACAUUUCUACAUUGGCCGUCCCUGCAGACACUGAAGCUACAAUUGGAGAGGUUAGGUCAUUUUGUGCUUUGCUAUAGCUUUUGCUCCAACCUCUGUUGAUGUGUUUUUUUACUGUGAUGGUAGCAUUCCUGUUUGGUGACAACAAUGGGACAUCUCAGUAAAAACCAACCAUAAAUGGAAUAAACUGUCAGAAGUCUUGACAUUAAAGAAACUAGUUUUGAAACAUUUGUGUAUUCUCUUUAGUCUCGUGUUGUAUUCUGGCAGGAAAACUGUUCAACAUUGCCUUCAUGACCCCAGAACUUCAAAUUCCUUUAAUAAUACAGGAAGUUGUUUAUGUUAAAGUGGCCUUGGGAGAUGUUGAAAUUAGGUAGGCUUUUCACUGAGCAAUUAUCAAUGAUUCUUCUUUUAAUGUAGUUAUUUGUUUUGUGUUAAAUUGUUAUUGAUUUCCAAUCGAUAUAAUAGCCAGAAUCUCUUAUAUGAAGAAAAAUGACAUUGUUUCUGUAUCCAUAUUUAAAGUCUUUUUGUGUGUAUGUUUAGACACUCUUGUAUCAACACUUCUUCUGGUUUUACCUACUGUCAGGUUUUUGUAUAUGGGUUGGAUUCUUUACUGUAGGUGUCUGUGACUUUUUGGUGAUAUAUUUCAACAAUAAA